GACGAACGCUGGCGGCGUGCUUAACACAUGCAAGUCGAGCGGUAAGGCCCUUUCGGGGGUACACGAGCGGCGAACGGGUGAGUAACACGUGGGUGACCUGCCCUCAGCUCUGGGAUAAGCCUGGGAAACCGGGUCUAAUACUGGAUAUGACUCCAUGACGCAUGUUGUGGGGUGGAAAGCCUUGUGCGGCUGAGGAUGGGCCCGCGGCCUAUCAGCUUGUUGGUGGGGUGAUGGCCUACCAAGGCGACGACGGGUAGCCGGCCUGAGAGGGCGACCGGCCACACUGGGACUGAGACACGGCCCAGACUCCUACGGGAGGGCAGCAGUGGGGAAUCUUGCGCAAUGGGCGAAAGCCUGACGCAGCGACG
RNAcentral lists this ribosomal RNA (368 nucleotides) under uncultured bacterium. RNAcentral describes it as "bacterial SSU rRNA". It matches the Rfam family "Bacterial small subunit ribosomal RNA", at positions 28 to 396 of the family's 1533-position model. The record is from RNAcentral.